Pseudomonas taeanensis MS-3 is the source of this 148-nucleotide non-coding RNA. The record is from Rfam. NCBI's taxonomy places the organism in Bacteria, Pseudomonadati, Pseudomonadota, Gammaproteobacteria, Pseudomonadales, Pseudomonadaceae.
CUCGUUGUGCGACCAACGAUAGCCUAGGGAAACAUGCGUCACCGGUAACGGUGGGGUAUGAAGCUUUCCCGACAAUGUAGCCCCCGUCAGGGUGCGACCUCGCCGCGAGGCGAGGCGUAGAUGCUCGGAGCAGUACCGGGUUGAGGCG